GACGAACGCUGGCGGCGUGCCUAAUACAUGCAAGUCGAGCGCUAAAGGUUGGAACUUGUACCGACUGGGUGAGCAGCGGACGGGUGAGUAACGCGUGGAUAAUCUGCCUUUGAGCGGGGGACGACAUUGGGAAACGAAUGCUAAUACCGCAUAAAAACUUUAACCACAAGAUUCAAGUUUGAAAGAUGCAAUUGCCUCACUCAAAGAUGAUUCGGCGUUGUGUUAGCUAGUUGGUGGGGUAACGGCCCACCAAGGCGAUGAUACGUAGCCGCUCUGAAAGGAGGAUGGGCAAAAUGGGAACUGGGACACGGCCCAGACUCUUAGGGGAGGAGCAAGUGGGGAACAUCGGACAAGGGGCGAAAGCUGACCGAGGCAAGCCGGGGGAGGUGAGAAGGGUCUUGGGUUGGAAAAGCCCGUUUGUAGGGAAGGAAGAGGGGGAGAGUGAAAAGCUGAUCAAGUGACGGUACCUACCCAGAAAGCGACGGCUAACUACGUG
Molecule: ribosomal RNA, 496 nt
Filed under: uncultured bacterium
Lineage: Bacteria
Description: partial 16S ribosomal RNA
Rfam family: Bacterial small subunit ribosomal RNA
Source: RNAcentral